RNAcentral lists this ribosomal RNA (253 nucleotides) under uncultured bacterium. RNAcentral describes it as "partial 16S ribosomal RNA". It matches the Rfam family "Bacterial small subunit ribosomal RNA", at positions 524 to 776 of the family's 1533-position model. The record is from RNAcentral.
UACGGGGGGGGCAAGCGUUGUUCGGAAUUACUGGGCGUAAAGGGCGUGUAGGCGGCCACCUAAGUCCGACGUGAAAUCCCCAGGCUUAACCUGGGAACUGCGUCGGAUACUGGAUGGCUUGAAUUCGGGAGAGGGAUGCAGAAUUCCAGGUGUAGCGGUGAAAUGCGUAGAUAUCUGGAGGAAUACCGGUGGCGAAGGCGGCAUCCUGGACCGACAUUGACGCUGAAGCGCGAAAGCUAGGGGAGCAAACGGG